CAGGACUCCGUUGUGCUUGAUCUAACCAUGUGGUUUGAAAUUUACUCAUGGUUGUGCCAAGCACCCUGGAGGCUUG
RNAcentral lists this microRNA precursor (76 nucleotides) under Scleropages formosus (Asian bonytongue). Its description in RNAcentral is "mir-218 microRNA precursor family". It matches the Rfam family "mir-218 microRNA precursor family". From Rfam's summary of the family: The extents of the hairpin precursors are not known. In this case the mature sequence in excised from the 5'arm of the hairpin. Lineage: Eukaryota; Metazoa; Chordata; Actinopteri; Osteoglossiformes; Osteoglossidae. The record is from Rfam by way of RNAcentral.